Non-coding RNA from Haemonchus placei, 75 nucleotides. Lineage: Eukaryota; Metazoa; Nematoda; Chromadorea; Rhabditida; Trichostrongylidae. The record is from Rfam.
GGCCCAAACUUGAAGUAGAUUUGUUUAGUAGGGUCAGCCAAUCCUACUGAUCUACUCUACUUUGAAUUUGGGCCU